RNAcentral lists this ribosomal RNA (301 nucleotides) under uncultured bacterium. RNAcentral's name for it is "partial 16S ribosomal RNA". It matches the Rfam family "Bacterial small subunit ribosomal RNA", at positions 509 to 807 of the family's 1533-position model. The record is from RNAcentral.
CAGUCGCCGCGGGAAUACGUAGGUGGCAAGCGUUGUCCGGAAUUAUUGGGCGUAAAGGGCUCGCAGGCGGUUUCUUAAGUCUGAUGUGAAGGCCCCCGGCUCAACCGGGGAAGGUCAUUGGAAACUGGGAAACUUGAGUGCAGAAGAGGAGAGUGGAAUUCCACGUGUAGCGGUGAAAUGCGUAGAGAUGUGGAGGAACACCAGUGGCGAAGGCGACUCUCUGGUCUGUAACUGACGCUGGGGAGCGAAAGCGUGGGGAGCGAACAGGAUUAGAUACCCGCGUAGUCCCUGUCUCUUAUAC